This 77-nucleotide ribosomal RNA is filed under the name Necator sp. HH-2013a. RNAcentral's name for it is "partial 5.8S ribosomal RNA". It matches the Rfam family "5.8S ribosomal RNA", at positions 1 to 76 of the family's 154-position model. From Rfam's summary of the family: 5.8S ribosomal RNA (5.8S rRNA) is a component of the large subunit of the eukaryotic ribosome. It is transcribed by RNA polymerase I as part of the 45S precursor that also contains 18S and 28S rRNA. The record is from RNAcentral. Lineage: Eukaryota; Metazoa; Nematoda; Chromadorea; Rhabditida; Ancylostomatidae.
CUAGCUUCAGCGAUGGAUCGGUCGAUUCGCGUAUCNAUGAAAAACGCAGCUAGCUGCGUUAUUUACCACGAAUUGCA